AUUGAACGCUGGCGGCAGGCUUAACACAUGCAAGUCGAGCGGAGACUUCGGUCUUAGCGGCGAACGGGUGAGUAAUACCUAGGAAUCUGCCUAUUAGUGGGGGAUAACGAAUCGAAAGGUUCGCUAAUACCGCAUACGUCCGUACGGGAGAAAGGGGGGGGAUCUUCGGACCUCUCGCUAAUAGAUGAGCCUAGGCCGGAUUAGCUAGUUGGUAGGGUAAAGGCCUACCAAGGCGACGAUCUGUAGCUGGUCUGAGAGGAUGGCCAGCCACACUGGAACUGAGACACGGUCCAGACUCCUACGGGAGGCAGCAGUGGGGAAUAUUGGACAAUGGGGGCAACCCUGAUCCAGCCAUGCCGCGUGUGUGAAGAAGGCCUUCGGGUUGUAAAGCACUUUAAGCGAGGAGGAAGGUUUUUAGUUUAAUACACUAAAGAAUUGACGUUACUCGCAGAAUAAGCACCGGCUAACUCUGUG
This 474-nucleotide ribosomal RNA is filed under the name uncultured bacterium. RNAcentral describes it as "bacterial SSU rRNA". It matches the Rfam family "Bacterial small subunit ribosomal RNA", at positions 30 to 507 of the family's 1533-position model. The record is from RNAcentral.